This 253-nucleotide ribosomal RNA is filed under the name uncultured bacterium. RNAcentral's name for it is "partial 16S ribosomal RNA". It matches the Rfam family "Bacterial small subunit ribosomal RNA", at positions 524 to 776 of the family's 1533-position model. The record is from RNAcentral.
UACGGAGGGUGCAAGCGUUAUCCGGAUUUAUUGGGUUUAAAGGGUCCGUAGGCGGAUCGUUAAGUCAGUGGUGAGAGCCUACCGCUCAACGGUAGAACUGCCAUUGAUACUGGCGAUCUUGAAUAUGUAUGAAGUUGGCGGAAUGUGUGGUGUAGCGGUGAAAUGCUUAGAUAUCACACAGAACACCGAUUGCGAAGGCAGCUGACUAAUACAUGAUUGACGCUGAGGGACGAAAGUGUGGGGAUCAAACAGG